This 252-nucleotide ribosomal RNA is filed under the name uncultured bacterium. RNAcentral's name for it is "partial 16S ribosomal RNA". It matches the Rfam family "Bacterial small subunit ribosomal RNA", at positions 524 to 776 of the family's 1533-position model. The record is from RNAcentral.
UACGUAGGGACCAAGCGUUGUUCGGAUUUACUGGGCGUAAAGGGCGCGUAGGCGGCGCGGUAAGUCACUUGUGAAAUCUCUGAGCUUAACUCAGAACGGCCAAGUGAUACUGCAGUGCUAGAGUGUGGAAGGGGCAAUCGGAAUUCUUGGUGUAGCGGUGAAUGCGUAGAUAUCAGGAGGAACACCGGUGGCGAAGGCGGGUCUCUGUGCCGAUACUGACGCUGAGGAGCGAAAGCGUGGGGAGCGAACAGG